This 480-nucleotide ribosomal RNA is filed under the name uncultured bacterium. RNAcentral describes it as "partial 16S ribosomal RNA". It matches the Rfam family "Bacterial small subunit ribosomal RNA", at positions 28 to 507 of the family's 1533-position model. The record is from RNAcentral.
GACGAACGCUGGCGGCGUGCUUAACACAUGCAAGUCGAACGAUGAAGAAAAGAAUUGAAGCUUCGGCAGAAAUUCAUUUCGGAUUAGUGGCAGACGGGUGAGUAACGCGUGAGCAACCUACCUCUUACAAAGGGAUAGCCUCGGGAAACCGGGAUCACUACCAUAUAACAUUGCGACGAAGCAUUUCGAUGCAAUCAAAGCUACGGCGGUAAGAGAUGGGCUCGGGUCCCAUUAACCCGUUGGGGAGGUAACGGCUCACCAUAGUAACGAUGGGUAACCGGCCUGAGAGGGUGAACGGUCACACUGGAACUGAGACACGGUCCAGACUCCUACGGGAGGCAGCAGUGGGGAAUAUUGAACAAUGGAGGGAACUCUGAUGCAGCGACGCCGCGUGAGUGAUGAAGGAAUUCGUUUCGUAAAACUCUGUUCUAUGGGAAGAAAAGGACUGUACCAUAGGAGAAAGCUCCGGCUAAAUACGUG